RNAcentral lists this ribosomal RNA (253 nucleotides) under uncultured bacterium. RNAcentral describes it as "partial 16S ribosomal RNA". It matches the Rfam family "Bacterial small subunit ribosomal RNA", at positions 524 to 776 of the family's 1533-position model. The record is from RNAcentral.
UACGUAGGUGGCAAGCGUUGUCCGGAUUUACUGGGCGUAAAGAGCGUGUAGGCGGCCAGGUAGGUCUGCUGUGAAAACUCGAGGCUCAACCUCGAGACGUCGGCGGAAACCAUCUGGCUAGAGUCCGGAAGAGGAGAGUGGAAUUCCUGGUGUAGCGGUGAAAUGCGUAGAGAUGUGGAGGAACACCGAUGGCGAAGGCAGCCCCCUGGGUCAAGAUUGACGCUCAUGCACGAAAGCGUGGGGAGCAAACAGG